AUUCUCAGUCUGUUGGAACUGUUGAAGAUCGGUGGCCUCAUUCAGCGUCUCGUUUAUGUUUUAAUUUUUGUGUGGCUCUGGAAAGUUGAUUUGUGGUAUUCGAUAGCUGUUUACGAGUGCUUCAUUCUAACUGAGAUAGACUUCAUCAAGGGGAAUGAAGUCCAUUGACGUAACUGGCAGAUGAUGGAAAGCCUUUGAUAUAACUUUAUUUUGGUGGCGGGUUAUGUUAAAAGUUGGCUUUCUACGCCAUGCAAUGUGAACAAGAAAAACCAUUAGAGGAUCUACAUGAAGGAUUCAAGAAAACAGGACAUGGUCAAUGAAGAGGACAACUUUAUUGAAUAAAGGAAGACGACGUUAUAUAUGAAGAUCGGAAGGGGUCUCCUCCUCCUUCCUGUGAGAUUUAAAAAAAAAACUUUUAUAAUCAUGACUUGUCGAUGUCCGUUUUGCUAUUAUCGUAGGAGUUGUUAGGUUAUCCAUAGCCUUCGAUCAGGUUGCUGUUAUUCUUGGUUAUAUAGAUGU
Molecule: long non-coding RNA, 519 nt
Organism: Macrobrachium nipponense
Lineage: Eukaryota; Metazoa; Arthropoda; Malacostraca; Decapoda; Palaemonidae
Exons: 3
Source: RefSeq, a predicted model, not a curated record